GAAGCGUCGCCAGCUCCGAAGGCCCCGCUGGGGCGGGACGUGCAGGGCCGGGCUGGUCCCGGUUCGCUCCCGCCCGGAGCUGUCCCCGGCGCUUUGCCGAGGCUGAGCGCGGCAUCUGAUGCUCCAAAACUGGUAAGGAGGGUGGCUGGUUCCUGGGGAAGUCAUCUUGGGCAGAAGAAGGUGGACUAUUAAGCCCAAGAGCUCUGCAAGACCUAGAGACAUCAUAUUUCUUCCUUAUAAAACUGCUGUACAAGAAUGAAAGCAUGGAAGCAUUUUAGAAAACAACACAUGGAAUUUUUUUUCCCAGAGAUGGAAUUUCUCUGGAAUCCCCACUUUGAUGCUUCCCCAUUCACUGCCCUCCAACUCCAUGCAUUGAAGAGGAGGAGCUCAGAGAGACAAAAAGCUUUGCCUUUGCCCCCCUCUGCUGCAGCCUGGACCCUGCAGGACUGGGUUCUUUGUAGUUCUCAGUGUGGCUUCUCCCCUGCUGCUCACUCUGAGUGCUGCUGUCUAGCCAGUUAUCUUUGCAGGUUUUAGCACUCUGUUUAUUGUUAGCUCCACUGAAUCUCCUGUGAAUUUCCUCUGUUGCUAAAUCGGAAAAGCCCUAUGAAAAUGAGGUUCAUACAAACCUGCUCUGGGAUUGGAGAUCACUGUAAUUGGUGGUGAGACCAAUGGUGGUACAUCUGAAACAGUUCUCAGCUUUUUUGAGCUCAUGUAACUUCUGCAGUGGAAGGGAAAGCCCGUAUGUUCUAAAAAAAAACCCAGUGUAUGUUCCAGUCUCAUUUUAAGCACACUUGGUCUGUUUGUUACAUUGGCCUUCAUGAUGCCUCACUUAAAGACAGUCCAACAUUCAGUUCUUUCAUGUCACUCUUGGGCCUUGACAAGUUUCAUCCCAGCUCCUGAUGAAAACCUCCUCCUGGACCUGCAGCACAGAGAUCUUCAAAGAGGGAGGGGGAAGAAUUGGCAGGAGCAAAAUAAAGCAGGGCUGCAGAGCAACAUGGGUCUUGUGACGCCCUUCCUCACAGCCCUUCCUCACAGCAGUGGCUUCUCUGUGAUGUUGCAUCAUUUCUAAAAAUAGAACUUCAGGUCCUCGGGGAAAUUGCAUUUCUAUUUUGUUCUGUGAAGUGCC
This is a long non-coding RNA of Calypte anna (Anna's hummingbird), 1126 nucleotides long. RefSeq lists it as uncharacterized. The transcript has 3 exons. The record is from RefSeq and is a predicted model, not a curated record. Lineage: Eukaryota; Metazoa; Chordata; Aves; Apodiformes; Trochilidae.